This is a non-coding RNA of Rattus norvegicus (Norway rat), 783 nucleotides long. The record is from RefSeq and is a predicted model, not a curated record. Lineage: Eukaryota; Metazoa; Chordata; Mammalia; Rodentia; Muridae.
UAUGACCACUCUCUUCCUUUCAAGCAUCACCCUCUCUUAGAAACAGCGCUACAGUGAAUAUCUUUCUUCAAUUCUCAUUUCAGACAAACCAGCAUCACCAGCAAUGUGACGGUUAAUCUGUGAAGGUGUCCUGGUGACUGGAAGUGGUCUCUUCUAACUAAAUUCAUUUCACAUAUCUUAUUUUAUAUACUAUUCUGAUAUCUUACUUUUGUUCAUCGUGAUGUUGAUGUUUACUACUCAAAAUAUACAAGACACCAACUUUAAAAUGAAGGAAUCUUAAGAAAACUAUCACUUCAAUUGACCUAUUUUGAAAUACAUAGACAAGAGCCCAGAAUAUCAACUUUUCUUACUAUUCUGUGAUGAAAACACUAACCAUCAACGAAGACAACCAGCAGUGAAGGGAGCCCCUUCAAAGCCUAACCCUUCCCAUGUAAACAAAGAAUUCUUCCCCAAAGAAACUCAGAGCUCUCCUCUGGGCAGUGAACAGUGGAUACAACAACCCAGAUUGUGAACAGGCAUUUAAAUAAAAAAAAAUCUUCACCUUCCUUAUUAGUUCUUUUUGGAAAAGACUGCUUCUCCCCCAGAUUACACAAUGCACGGGCUAUAAUUAUAAUCACAUUCCUAAGUCCUGCCAGCUCCAAGCCCAAAUCAGUCUUUCUCUCCUCCCAACCCCUUUUUUUAAAAGUAAAGGUGACUUUUCCAUCACUUAAGCCACAAUUUUUGAUGCAAAAACAGCUUCAUCAAAAAGUAAAUUCACUCUCAGAAAUAAAGAGCUAUUUCCCA